ACCGCUUAGCUCGGGGAUUAGAGCAUUACACUUGUAAGGCGAUGGUCAUCGGUUCGAGUCCGAUAGGCGGUU
This 72-nucleotide transfer RNA is filed under the name Botrychium lanuginosum. RNAcentral describes it as "Japanobotrychium lanuginosum tRNA-Thr". It matches the Rfam family "tRNA". Rfam says of the family: Transfer RNA (tRNA) molecules are approximately 80 nucleotides in length. Their secondary structure includes four short double-helical elements and three loops (D, anti-codon, and T loops). The record is from RNAcentral. Lineage: Eukaryota; Viridiplantae; Streptophyta; Polypodiopsida; Ophioglossales; Ophioglossaceae.